GCCCGUCUAGCUCAAUUGGCCAGAGCACGGCUUUCGUACAGCCGGGGUUCCGCGUUCGAAUCGCGGGACGGGCUCCA
Molecule: transfer RNA, 77 nt
Filed under: Sulfobacillus harzensis
Lineage: Bacteria; Bacillati; Bacillota; Clostridia; Eubacteriales; Clostridiales Family XVII. Incertae Sedis
Description: Sulfobacillus sp. DSM 109850 tRNA-Thr
Rfam family: tRNA
About the family: Transfer RNA (tRNA) molecules are approximately 80 nucleotides in length. Their secondary structure includes four short double-helical elements and three loops (D, anti-codon, and T loops). Further hydrogen bonds mediate the characteristic L-shaped molecular structure. tRNAs have two regions of fundamental functional importance: the anti-codon, which is responsible for specific mRNA codon recognition, and the 3' end, to which the tRNAs corresponding amino acid is attached (by aminoacyl-tRNA synthetases). tRNAs cope with the degeneracy of the genetic code in two manners: having more than one tRNA (with a specific anti-codon) for a particular amino acid; and 'wobble' base-pairing, i.e. permitting non-standard base-pairing at the 3rd anti-codon position.
Source: RNAcentral